RNAcentral lists this non-coding RNA (28 nucleotides) under Bombyx mori (domestic silkworm). Lineage: Eukaryota; Metazoa; Arthropoda; Insecta; Lepidoptera; Bombycidae. The record is from RNAcentral.
UCUCUGCAGAAGGAACUCACAACCUGGU